UCCCCAAAGACUAGACGUGACCUGGCAGA
Molecule: non-coding RNA, 29 nt
Filed under: Homo sapiens (human)
Lineage: Eukaryota; Metazoa; Chordata; Mammalia; Primates; Hominidae
Source: RNAcentral